AGGACGAACGCUGGCGGCGUGCUUAACACAUGCAAGUCGAACGGUGAAGCACCUUCCUUUUGGUGGGUGUGGAUGAGUGGCGAACGGGUGAGUAACACGUGAGUAACCUGCCCCCUUCUUCUGGAUAACCGCAUGAAAGUGUGGCUAAUACGGGAUAUUCUGGGUCUGUCGCAUGGCGGGCCUGGGAAAGAUAUUGUUUCGGUGGGGGAUGGGCUCGCGGCCUAUCAGCUUGUUGGUGGGGUGAUGGCCUACCAAGGCGGUGACGGGUA
RNAcentral lists this ribosomal RNA (269 nucleotides) under uncultured soil bacterium. RNAcentral's name for it is "partial 16S ribosomal RNA". It matches the Rfam family "Bacterial small subunit ribosomal RNA", at positions 26 to 285 of the family's 1533-position model. The record is from RNAcentral.